UACGGAGGGUGCGAGCGUUGAUCGGAAUAACUGGGCGUAAAGGGCACGCAGGCGGGCUUUUAAGUGAGAUGUGAAAUCCCCGGGCUUAACCUGGGAAUAGCAUUUCAGACUGGGAGUCUAGAGUACAUUAGGGGGGGGUAGAAUUCCACGUGUAGCGGUGAAAUGCGUAGAGAUGUGGAGGAAUACCGAAGGCGAAGGCAGCCCCUUGGAAAUGUACUGACGCUGAUGUGCGAAAGCGUGGGGAUCAAACAGG
Molecule: ribosomal RNA, 253 nt
Filed under: uncultured bacterium
Lineage: Bacteria
Description: partial 16S ribosomal RNA
Rfam family: Bacterial small subunit ribosomal RNA
Source: RNAcentral